UACGGAGGGUGCAAGCGUUAUCCGGAUUCACUGGGUUUAAAGGGUGCGUAGGUGGGCAGGUAAGUCAGUGGUGAAAUCUCCGGGCUUAACCCGGAAACUGCCGUUGAUACUAUCUGUCUUGAAUAUCGUGGAGGUGGGCGGAAUAUGUCAUGUAGCGGUGAAAUGCUUAGAUAUCAAGAGGAACACUCGUGGCGAAAGCGAGCUACUGGACAACUCCUGACGCUGAGGCUCGAAGGCUAGGGUAGCGAAAGGG
This 253-nucleotide ribosomal RNA is filed under the name uncultured bacterium. Its description in RNAcentral is "partial 16S ribosomal RNA". It matches the Rfam family "Bacterial small subunit ribosomal RNA", at positions 524 to 776 of the family's 1533-position model. The record is from RNAcentral.